UAUAUUUUUAUUUUACUCAUAAAACUUGUUAUUUAGGAAUAUUUUACAUUGUUGUAUGUAGAUGACUUCCAUUAUAAUAAAUAAAUAAAUACUACAUUUUCUGUUUCUGUGUACAUUUAUACAUUUUCAAAUUAGUCUUCCCAUGUAUUUGAUAAUUGAGCCUUUUAUUUUUACACUUCUUUAUUUUCUUGAGUCAUUUAUUUAUUAUAAUGGCAGCUUUAGUCACUUUUUACCUAAAUAUAGCAUCUAAUAGUUAAACAAUUGUUCCUGAUACUGGGCUAACACGAUGUCACGAUGCAUUUGUUUCCCUUGCAGACUGUGGGGCAGAUGCCUUUUGAGAGAUAUGUCACCACUUACAGCAGAGACUAUAAAGCCUUCAGCCAGCGUCACACACAGCUCGACCAGCUGAAGCUCAGAACUGAAGCUCAAGCUGCUCCUGUGUUCAUCAGCCCACCUCAGGUUGGACAGACGGACGGACACAGAGAUUCAUUGAAAGAUAGAUUCAUUCACUGACGUGUUGAUUGUGCUGUGUUCACAGACUCUUCAUGAAACCUGGUAUAUACUUCAUCAAUACUUUUACAAGACAACUAACAGCAUCUACGGCUCAAGUUUACAGUACUGUCUCUCAGCCUAACAGUUCCCUCUUCCCUGCCUCCUCGGGUCCAUGUGGCGUCCCUGCUGCUUCCAUGUCUGAGGCGUCUGGGGGAGUUGCAAGGGAGACUGGGCCUUUCCCUGGUGAGGAGAGAGGUCAGCUGCACAAUGCUUUUAGUGGAAAGGGUAAGACACACACACGCACGCGCACACACAAGCUGGCAGCUACAUUGGUACUCAGUUCAUUUUCUUUUGACAGCUAA
RNAcentral lists this long non-coding RNA (854 nucleotides) under Cottoperca gobio. RNAcentral's name for it is "lncRNA (ENSCGOG00000021029.1)". The record is from RNAcentral. Lineage: Eukaryota; Metazoa; Chordata; Actinopteri; Perciformes; Bovichtidae.